This 325-nucleotide long non-coding RNA is filed under the name Gorilla gorilla gorilla (western lowland gorilla). RNAcentral describes it as "lncRNA (ENSGGOG00000044340.1)". Lineage: Eukaryota; Metazoa; Chordata; Mammalia; Primates; Hominidae. The record is from RNAcentral.
GUUUGCGGCAACCGUGGGCACUGCUGAAUUUGAAUUGAGGGGCGAGAGAAAAGUUUUCCUCAGGUGUGGUGGGGUGAGGGAGGCGGAUGCCGGGAAACCGUAGGGACGUGGUCAGAAAGGCGACGGGCUGUCGGAGUUGGAAAGGGCCUACUGCAGUGCAUGAAGGUGGUAUGGACUCAGAACUCUGAAGUCUGAGGAGACAAAUACGUGCCCACCAUAACAACAUCACACAAUACCUAGAGUCAAAACAGUUAUCCCUAUUCCUACCCCCAACUGAGUUAUUCAAUAAAGCCUGCCUUAUGGAAUCUGUUUUCCCAUGUAUAGU